Molecule: long non-coding RNA, 3817 nt
Organism: Leopardus geoffroyi (Geoffroy's cat)
Lineage: Eukaryota; Metazoa; Chordata; Mammalia; Carnivora; Felidae
Exons: 2
Source: RefSeq, a predicted model, not a curated record
AAAGGGGCAGCCUCCCCAUUGGUCUCUACCUUUGAAAUCUCUUCCUAAGUAGGCCUGAGUCAGUGAAAGGCUUCUGGAGGGCGGGACAGAAUAGGGGUAUUAGGCGGAGGAUGGGGUUACUUACCAGUUGACACUCUGGCAAGACCCAUCCCCUAGUUUCCCACCACUAGUCUUGCUUCUACCCUCAAGUGAGGACUGUACUAUGAAUCUUUUGUUAGGAAGCUGCUGCUUGAGAGGCUCUGCCUCUAUGCGACUGGGACGAGACCUACUCUACAAGAAAAAUCUCCUGGUUAGUAAGAGCCCGCCAGGAGAGGAGGACUAGAUCUCUCCAGAGAAAGCUGGGACCAGGAGAGGUGGACAGUUUUCCCUCCCCCAAAAGCCCUCAAGAGUCCUCAUCCAAUGGAAGAGUCUGCUGCCCGGGAGGCUGAUUUCCACCUUCAGUUCUACCCACUCCUGCUUCGCCUGCUCCACCUUUCCCUAAAGAACUAUCGCCUCAUACGCAGAGGUCAGCGAAUCCAUUUUGGGGUAGUUUAAAACAAGCACGCACGGCCCAAAAAAGGAGGGGCUGUAGCCCUUUAAGGACUUCGCCAGGAUGGAUCCGGAGAGGAGUUUAAAAAUGCCAACUCACAGAGCGCGCUGGAUUCUGGGAACUAGGUGCCAGACCGAGAACUACAUUGACCAGUGUGCAACGCAAACACACACGCCUUUACUUCCUUUUGCUCUUCAGGACUCUGGUUUGACGUAGCGCUCCUCAAAGCAAGCUGCCUUAGACUUAUGGCUCAGCCACACCCUUUCACCUAUUGGUGAGCUCGUGAGUUGGUGGGCGUGGCCUAGCGCAGCUCACCCAGGCAAAGGGGUGGCCUCCUUGCCAAUCAGAGCUAAGAGGGCCGGAGAGGCGGGACCUGGGCGAAGUGCUGGCGCCCCAGAGUGGGUGUGGUCACGCUGCCCAGCAGUGGGCGGUGAUUGGCCCUGGGCGGUGCAAUCGCAGCUUGUGCGUCACGACGCCGCCAGCUGAUCGGAGCCUGGAGCCGGUGUGUGCUGGGCGCAGGGAAGACACAGCGCCGCCGGCCGUGGGGGACGGACGCACUGAUUUGCUCCCCUACCCACAGCAGCCCCCCCACCCAGCACCAGGUGGGUGUGAGCUGGGGUCUCCGCCGCACAGGAGGGAACCGUGCUAACAGGGAGCCUGUCCCUCCCACAUCCUCAACUGGCUGAGCCGCAGUAGUUCUUCAGUGGCAAGCUUUAUGUCCUGACCCAGCUAAAGCUGCCAGUUGAAGAACUGUUGCCCUCUGCCCCUGGCUUCAAGGAGGAGGAGGAAGAGGAGAAGGAGCUGCUUUCCCCCUCAUCUGGAAGGUGACGGAACUGGGGCUGGGAAGGUCAGAACAGCGGGAGUGGUGAUGCCUUUUGGAAAAGGGAACCUUGUUCAGUUGGAGACCCUUCAGCCAGAUUGGCCCAGCAAGAGAGAACAGUUGUAGAUUAGAGACCCUCGUUGGGCUGGGGACUAGAUGGCUGUGACUACCCAAGGUUAGUUGGUCUACAUCAGUGUGUGACAAAGGGAAGACAAUGGGAGCAAAGAAAACUGGCAACACCUUUACUCAGAUGUCUUUCUUGACCCUCCUUCCUGUCUCCCUUUCUUUCCUACUGCCUUUCCAGGUGAGGUCCAAAGUAAAUUUCAUCUUCAGGGAAGAGGUCAUACUGAAACUCCCGUCUGAGUAGUCAACCCCAUGCUCUUAGCUUUCCCUGUAUUUCCUCAGACUGGCCUAGACUCCAGUUACAGGGAUAAAUCACCUAUAUGUGGGACUCUUAGGCUUCUUGUCUCAGCUUCAACACCUGUGAGAUGCAGAAUCAUACAGUUGAAUGUGCAGGAGGGAAUCAGAAGCCUACUGUGCAGACUCAGAGCCUGGGCUCUCUUCUCCCUGUGGGUGGGAACAAAACAGCUUUUCAUAUAAGCUGUUGCCCCUCCCCCCCAUCCCUAACCAACACAACCCCAGGAGCUGGGGGUGGGGGGAGGAUUAGAGGGAGGGGGCUAGAGUUAGACCAGGGCUAGGGGCUGGAGGAGCCCAGUCUCUACAUUGACUUCCCACCAUACAAAGGUGGCCCCAGGUUUCCUCUGCCACCCAAAACAGAACUGCAGCCCCUGAUGGGGUUCCAACUGCUGUUCCUCUGUUUCUUCUCUCACUUUACCUUCCAGGAUAAUUUGUGAGACUCAGCUCAGGCUUACGAGGCAGGAAAUUCUCUCCAGCAACCAGGCGAGAUGGGUUGUGGGAUGUGACCCCCUCUGGGGAAUCAAGCUGUGUCAACCUAGCACCCCUGGCUCCUGAUGCCAUGUAACUCUUGGGGCUCAGGCUCUGGUGUGGUUCAACCGUGGCCCAGCCUCCCUGCCUGAAGGUGGCCAAAUUCAGGGGCUGCAGAAAGCUGUCCCGCUGUGGGGCACAAGAUGUACAGGUAGCUGGGUCCUUUUCUCCACUUAUGAGAGAGAUUUAGGGGAGAGUAGAUCAUUGAACCCACCCUUCUGCAGCCUAGGCUGGAUGUGUGUGGGACUGCGGUGGAGGGGGUGGGUAGACUGGGUCCACUCAUAGGCUGCAACAAAGAUUGUUCUGUCCCUGGACAUUGCUUCCGUCCUUUCUUCCCCUCUCCGCUUCACUGGCCACAGUGUCUCCCUCCAGCCCUGGGUAUGUGGCUGUGCCAUCCUCACCCGUCAUGGAGCAGAGAUGAGGAAGAGCAGCCUGGGAACACAGAGGCAGGCAGAAGACCAGUGAAGGACCAGGCCCGGAGAGCACAGGGCCCUGUCUGGGCACCCCGCAGAGGGGACCCAUAAAGGCCAGGAGCACCCCAGGAGGAGGGAGGACGGCCAGCCUCCAUCAAGAACAAGCUCCCGGCCACUGGCUUCAUUCACUAUUUCUCUCCAGUGUCACUACCUCCCUGAGAUAUGAGACUGUGUUAAAAUGUCCUGUUGCUUCAUCCUCCUACUUCUACUCCCUACCCUAUAGAGUGAUAUAAAGCAGCCUCAAGGAGCAAGAGCCAGCUGUGAAAGGACAUAUGUAGGGAAUUCAUAGAAGAAAUUCAAAUGGAUAAAACCAUGAAAAACAAUGUGUGCUUCAUUAGUAAUUAAAGAAAGACAAGCAUAGCUGAAAGCAUUUUUCCCUCGGCAAACUAUAUUUUAAAAAAUAAAAAAAGGAAGACCCAGUAUCGGCAAAGGAGCACUAAAAGAACACUCCCAUACCUUGCUGCAUAUGGGGGUGCGAAUUGGUAUAGCCUUCCUGGAUGUCAGUUUGGUAGUAUGUGUCAGACACCCUAAAAGUGUCCAUCGCCUUUGACCUAGUGAUUCUACACUUGGGAAUUUAUCCUAAGAAAAUAAUUAAAGAUUCAGUUACAAGAUGCUCACCCCAGCAUUGCAAUAGAAAAAAUGAGAAGCAGUUGUCUGAUUGGGAAUUCACUUCUUCUUUGCUGUAAUGAAAAUUUGCAAUGGGGGAUUGCUUAAGUAAAUCAUUGUAUAUCCAUCCAGAUGGUGGAGUACUGCACAGCCAUUAGAAGUCAUGUAGAAGAACAUUUGACUGGAAAGAAAAAUGCUCUUUGAAUAUUAAAAAGGUUAUGAAAAUAGUGUGUAUUAUGUGAUCUCAAUUUUUUUUAAUAUGGGUAUAUUCUUGUAUAUAUAAAACAGAUAAAGACUAAGGACAUAACUCUUAAAUGUUAAUGAUAGUGAUUAUCUUUGGAUGGUGGAACAAAAUCAUUUUGUUGAUUUUCCUCUUUGGCUUUUCUAUUUUAAAAUUUUCUACAUUGUGUAUGGUUCUCAUAUAAUAAAUAAAAUUUAAAAGAA